RNAcentral lists this ribosomal RNA (549 nucleotides) under uncultured bacterium. RNAcentral describes it as "bacterial SSU rRNA". It matches the Rfam family "Bacterial small subunit ribosomal RNA", at positions 355 to 896 of the family's 1533-position model. The record is from RNAcentral.
UAGGGAAUCUUCGGCAAUGGACGGAAGUCUGACCGAGCAACGCCGCGUGAGUGAAGAAGGUUUUCGGAUCGUAAAGCUCUGUUGUAAGAGAAGAACGAGUGUGAGAGUGGAAAGUUCACACUGUGACGGUAUCUUACCAGAAAGGGACGGCUAACUACGUGCCAGCAGCCGCGGUAAUACGUAGGUCCCGAGCGUUGUCCGGAUUUAUUGGGCGUAAAGCGAGCGCAGGCGGUUAGAUAAGUCUGAAGUUAAAGGCUGUGGCUUAACCAUAGUAGGCUUUGGAAACUGUUUAACUUGAGUGCAAGAGGGGAGAGUGGAAUUCCAUGUGUAGCGGUGAAAUGCGUAGAUAUAUGGAGGAACACCGGUGGCGAAAGCGGCUCUCUGGCUUGUAACUGAUGCUGAGGCUCGAAAGCGUGGGGAGCAAACAGGAUUAGAUACCCUGGUAGUCCACGCUGUAAACGAUGAGUGCUAGGUGUUAGACCCUUUCCGGGGUUUAGUGCCGUAGCUAACGCAUUAACACUCCGCCUGGGGAGUACGACCGCAAGGUUG